This 468-nucleotide ribosomal RNA is filed under the name uncultured bacterium. RNAcentral describes it as "partial 16S ribosomal RNA". It matches the Rfam family "Bacterial small subunit ribosomal RNA", at positions 28 to 507 of the family's 1533-position model. The record is from RNAcentral.
GACGAACGCUGGCGGCGUGCUUAACACAUGCAAGUCGAACGGAAAGGCCCUGCUUUUGUGGGGUGCUCGAGUGGCGAACGGGUGAGUAACACGUGAGUAACCUGCCCUUGACUUUGGGAUAACUUCAGGAAACUGGGGCUAAUACCGGAUAGGAGCUCCUGCUGCAUGGUGGGGGUUGGAAAGUUUCGGCGGUUGGGGAUGGACUCGCGGCUUAUCAGCUUGUUGGUGGGGUAGUGGCUUACCAAGGCUUUGACGGGUAGCCGGCCUGAGAGGGUGACCGGCCACCUUGGGCCUGAGAUACGGCCCAGACUCCUACGUGGGGCAGCAGUGGGGAAUAUUGCACAAUGGGCGGGAGCCUGAUGCAGCAACGCCGCGUGCGGGAUGCCGGCCUUCGGGUUGUAAACCGCUUUCGCCUGUGACGAAGCGUGAGUGACGGUAAUGGGUAAAGAAGCACCGGCUAACUACGUG